This 347-nucleotide unclassified non-coding RNA is filed under the name soil metagenome. Its description in RNAcentral is "partial contains 5.8S ribosomal RNA, internal transcribed spacer 2, and large subunit ribosomal RNA". The stretch from base 1 to 120 matches the Rfam family "5.8S ribosomal RNA", at positions 35 to 154 of the family's 154-position model. The record is from RNAcentral.
GAUGAAGAACGCAGUGAAAUGCGAUAAUUAAUGUGAAUUGCAGAAUUCAGUGAAUCAUCGAGUCUUUGAACGCACAUUGCGCCCCCUGGUAUUCCGGGGGGCAUGCCUGUCCGAGCGUCAUUGCUGCCCUCAAGCACGGCUUGUGUGUUGGGCUUCCGUCCCUGGCAACGGGGACGGGCCCAAAAGGCAGUGGCGGCACCAUGUCUGGUCCUCGAGCGUAUGGGGCUUUGUCACCCGCUCCCAUAGGUCCAGCUGGCAGCUAGCCUCGCAACCAAUCUUUUUAACCAGGUUGACCUCGGAUCAGGUAGGGAUACCCGCUGAACUUAAGCAUAUCAAUAAGCGGAGGA